This 2519-nucleotide long non-coding RNA is filed under the name Cyanistes caeruleus (blue tit). RNAcentral describes it as "lncRNA (ENSCCEG00000002076.1)". The record is from RNAcentral. Lineage: Eukaryota; Metazoa; Chordata; Aves; Passeriformes; Paridae.
CACCAGGAACCAUCCUGGACCACCCUGGGGACACUUUGGGGACAUCAGGGACACCCUGGGGACAUCCUGGGGUCACCAGGAACCAUCCUGGACCACCCUGGGGACAUCCUGAACCACCCUGGGGACACUUUGGGGAUAUCAGGGACACCCUGGGGACACCAGGAACCAUCCUGGACCACCCUGGGGACAUCAGGGGCCAUCCUGGGGACACUUUGGGGACAUCAUGGACACCCUGGGGACAUCCAGGACCACCCUGGAGACACUUUGAGGACAUCAGGGACACCCUGGGGACAUCAGGGACCAUCCUGGGGACAUCGGGAACCACCCUGGGGACACCAGGAACCACCCUGGGGACAUCAAGGGCCAUCCUGGACCACCCUGGGGACACCAGGGACACCCUGGGGACACUUUGGGGACAUCGGGGACCAUCCUGGGGACACCAGGAACCAUCCUGGACCACCCUGGGGACACUUUGGGGACAUCAGGGACACCCUGGGGACACCAGGAACCAUCCUGGGGACAUCAAGGGCUAUCCUGGACCACCCUGGGGACACCAGGGACACCCUGGGGACACUUUGGGGACAUCGGGGACCAUCCUGGGGACACCAGGAACCAUCCUGGACCACCCUGGGGACACUUUGGGGACAUCAGGGACACCCUGGGGACAUCCUGGGGUCACCAGGAACCAUCCUGGACCACCUGGGGACAUCCUGGACCACCCUGGGGACACUUUGGGGACAUCAGGGACACCCUGGGGACACCAGGAACCAUCGGGGACCAUCCUGGGGACAUCAGGGGCCAUCCUGGGGACACUUUGGGGACAUCAUGGACACCCUGGGGACAUCCAGGACCACCCUGGAGACACUUUGAGGACAUCAGGGACACCCUGGGGACAUCAGGGACCAUCCUGGGGACAUCGGGAACCACCCUGGGGACACCAGGAACCACCCUGGGGACAUCAAGGGCCAUCCUGGACCACCCUGGGGACACCAGGGACACCCUGGGGACACUUUGGGGACAUCGGGGACCAUCCUGGGGACACCAGGAACCAUCCUGGGGGUAUCAGGGCCAUCCUGGGGACACUUUGGGGACAUCAGGGACACCCUGGGGACAUCCUGGGGACACCAGGAACCACCCUGGGGACACUUUCAGGACAUCAGGGACACCCUGGGGACACCAGGAACCAUCCUGGACCACUCUGGGGACAUUGGGGACAUCAGGGACACCCUGGGAACAUCAAGGGCCAUCCUGGACCACCCUGGGGACAUCCAGGACCACCCUGGGGACACUUUGGGGACAUCAAGGACACUCUGAGGACACCAGGAACCAUCCUGGGGGUAUCAGGGCCAUCCUGGGGACACUUUGGGGACAUCAGGGACACCCUGGGGACAUCCUGGGGACACCAGGAACCACCCUGGGGACACUUUCAGGACAUCAGGGACACCCUGGGGACACCAGGAACCAUCCUGGACCACUCUGGGGACAUUGGGGACAUCAGGGACACCCUGGGAACAUCAAGGGCCAUCCUGGACCACCCUGGGGACAUCCAGGACCACCCUGGGGACACUUUGGGGACAUCAAGGACACUCUGAGGACACCAGGAACCAUCCUGGACCACCCUGGGGACAUCAGGGGCCAUCCUGGGGACACCAGGAACCACCCUGGACCACCCUGGGGACAUUGGGGACCAUCCUGGGGACACCAGGGACACCCUGGGGACAUCAGGGACCACCCUGGGGACACCAGGAACCAUCCUGGGGACAUCAAGGGCUAUCCUGGACCACCCUGGGGACACCAGGGACACCCUGGGGACACCAAGAACCACCCUGGGGACACUUUGGGGACCAUCCUGGGGACAUCAGGGACACCCUGGGGCCAUCCUGGACCACCCUGGGGACAUCGGGGACACCCUGGGGACACUUUGGGGACAUCAGGACCACCCUGGGGACACCAGGAACCAUCCUGGACCACCCUGGGGACAUUGGGGACCAUCCUGGGGACACCAGGGACACCCUGAGGACAUCAGGACCACCCUGGUGACACCAAGAACCACCCCCGGUGACACUUUGGGGACAUCGGGGACGUUCCCACGGCUCCUGGGGGCAGCAGAAAUCCCCGAGCCGUCAGAAAGAGAGAGAAGAGAGGAAGUGACAGCGCGGGUGACAGGCGGGUGACAGGCGGGUGACAACACCGGGACAGGGGGUGACAAACACGGGACAACGGCGGGGGGGCAGAAAAUUGUCCCGGGAUGGGGGAAAAGGGCAGGAAUUUAUCCCGGGAUGGGAUAAAAGGGCAGGAAUUUAUCCCGGGAUGGGGGAAAAGGGCAGGAAUUUAUCCCGGGAUGGGUUAAAAGGGCAGGAAUUUAUCCCGGGAUGGGUAAAAAGGGCAGGAAUUUAUCCCGGGAUGGGAGAAAAGGGCAGGAAUUUAUCCCGGGAUGGGAUAAAAGGGCAGGAAUUUAUCCCGGGAUGGGAUAAAAGGGCAGGAAUUUAUCCCGGGAUGGGGCAGGAGGGGCAGGAAUU